CCUACGGGUGGCAGCAGUGAGGAAUAUUGGUCCAUGGACGGAAGUCUGAACCAGCCAUGCCGCGUGAAUGAUGAAGGUCUUCGGAUUGUAAAGUUCUGUGAUGGGGGAUGAACACAAUGACGGUACCCCAAUAGCAAGCCACGGCGAACUACGUGCCAGCAGCCGCGGUAAUACGUAGGUGGCAAGCGUUAUCCGGAUGGACUGGGCGUAAAGGGUGCGUCGGGGGUUUAGUAAGUUGGCGGUGUAAUUCCGGGGCUCAACCUCGGCGCUACCGCCAAAAAUAUGAGACGUGAGUGGAGGAGAGGUAAGGGGAAUUCCUAGUGUAGCGGUGGAAUGCGUAGAUAUUAGGAAGAACAUCAGGGGCGAAGGCGACUUACUGGACUGUAACUGACGCUGAGGCACGAAAGCGUGGGGAGCAAACAGGAUUAGAUACCCUGGUAGUC
Molecule: ribosomal RNA, 443 nt
Filed under: uncultured bacterium
Lineage: Bacteria
Description: partial 16S ribosomal RNA
Rfam family: Bacterial small subunit ribosomal RNA
Source: RNAcentral